GCGUGGAUGAAGAAGGUCUUCGGAUUGUAAAGUCCUUUCGGCGGGGACGAUGAUGACGGUACCCGCAGAAGAAGCCCCGGCUAACUUCGUGCCAGCAGCCGCGGUAAUACGAAGGGGGCUAGCGUUGCUCGGAAUUACUGGGCGUAAAGGGCGCGUAGGCGGCGGCAUCAGUCAGGCGUGAAAGCCCCGGGCUCAACCUGGGAACUGCGCUUGAGACGGUGUUGCUUGAGGACGGGAGAGGGUGGUGGAAUUCCCAGUGUAGAGGUGAAAUUCGU
RNAcentral lists this ribosomal RNA (275 nucleotides) under uncultured bacterium. RNAcentral's name for it is "partial 16S ribosomal RNA". It matches the Rfam family "Bacterial small subunit ribosomal RNA", at positions 399 to 691 of the family's 1533-position model. The record is from RNAcentral.